AAAUUGAAGAGUUUGAUCAUGGCUCAGAUUGAACGCUGGCGGCAGGCCUAACACAUGCAAGUCGAACGGUAGCACAGAGAGCUUGCUCUCGGGUGACGAGUGGCGGACGGGUGAGUAAUGUCUGGGAAACUGCCCGAUG
This 139-nucleotide ribosomal RNA is filed under the name Salmonella enterica. Its description in RNAcentral is "partial 16S ribosomal RNA". It matches the Rfam family "Bacterial small subunit ribosomal RNA", at positions 1 to 135 of the family's 1533-position model. The record is from RNAcentral. Lineage: Bacteria; Pseudomonadati; Pseudomonadota; Gammaproteobacteria; Enterobacterales; Enterobacteriaceae. RNAcentral also lists the same sequence under 1 other name.